Molecule: transfer RNA, 68 nt
Filed under: Atya gabonensis
Lineage: Eukaryota; Metazoa; Arthropoda; Malacostraca; Decapoda; Atyidae
Description: tRNA-Val
Source: RNAcentral
UAGGCUGUAGCUUAAUAAGAAGCAUCUCAGUUACGUUGGGAAGAUCAUCAUGUUAUGGUGUGGCUUAA